GACGAACGCUGGCGGCGUGCUUAACACAUGCAAGUCGAACGCUGAAGCUCAGCUUUUGUUGGGUGGAUGAGUGGCGAACGGGUGAGUGACACGUGAGUAACCUGCCUCCUUCUUUGGGAUAACGCCCGGAAACGGGUGCUAAUACUGGAUAUUCACUGGUCUUCGCAUGGGGGUUGGUGGAAAGGGUUUUUCUGGUGGGGGAUGGGCUCGCGGCCUAUCAGCUUGUUGGUGGGGUGAUGGCCUACCAAGGCUUUGACGGGUAGCCGGCCUGAGAGGGUGACCGGGCACAUUGGGACUGAGAUACGGCCCAGACUCCUACGGGAGGCAGAAGUGGGGAAUAUUGCACAAUGGGCGCAAGCCUGAUGCAGCGACGCCGCGUGAGGGAUGGAGGCCUUCGGGUUGUGAACCUCUUUCGCUCAUGGUCAAGCCGCAACAAUGGUUGUGGUGAGGGUAGUGGGUAAAGAAGCGCCGGCUAACUACGUG
This 483-nucleotide ribosomal RNA is filed under the name uncultured bacterium. RNAcentral describes it as "partial 16S ribosomal RNA". It matches the Rfam family "Bacterial small subunit ribosomal RNA", at positions 28 to 507 of the family's 1533-position model. The record is from RNAcentral.